RNAcentral lists this ribosomal RNA (279 nucleotides) under uncultured bacterium. Its description in RNAcentral is "partial 16S ribosomal RNA". It matches the Rfam family "Bacterial small subunit ribosomal RNA", at positions 506 to 784 of the family's 1533-position model. The record is from RNAcentral.
UGCCAGCAGCCGCGGUAAUACGAAAGGGGCUAGCGUUGUUCGGAAUUACUGGGCGUGAAGCGCGCGUAGGCGGCAUAGUAAGUUGGAUGUGAAAUCCCAGAGCUCAACUCUGGAACUGCCUUCAAAACUGCUAAGCUAGAGUGCGGAAGAGGAGGGUGGAAUUCCUAGUGUAGAGGUGAAAUUCGUAGAUAUUAGGAAGAACACCGGUGGCGAAGGCGACUCUCAGGUCCGAUACUGACGCUGAGGUGCGAAAGCGUGGGGAGCAAACAGGAUUAGAUA